This 436-nucleotide ribosomal RNA is filed under the name uncultured bacterium. RNAcentral's name for it is "partial 16S ribosomal RNA". It matches the Rfam family "Bacterial small subunit ribosomal RNA", at positions 341 to 792 of the family's 1533-position model. The record is from RNAcentral.
ACGGAAGGCAGCAGUGGGGAAUAUUGGGCAAUGGGCGCAAGCCUGACCCAGCAACGCCGCGUGAGUGAAGAAGGCUUUCGGGUUGUAAAGCUCUGUUGUCAGGGACGAAUAAAUGACGGUACCUGACAAGGAAGCCCCGGCUAACUACGUGCCAGCAGCCGCGGUAAUACGUAGGGGGCAAGCGUUGUCCGGAAUGACUGGGCGUAAAGGGCGUGUAGGCGGCCGAUUAAGUCCGGAGUGAAAGUCCUGCUUUCAAGGUGGGAAUUGCUUUGGAGACUGAUGAGCUUGAGUGCAGGAGAGGUAAGUGGAAUUCCCAGUGUAGCGGUGAAAUGCGUAGAGAUUGGGAGGAACACCAGUGGCGAAGGCGACUUACUGGACUGUAACUGACGCUGAGGCGCGAAAGUGUGGGGAGCAAACAGGAUUAGAUACCCUGGUA